CCCCUAAACCCUAAUGCCUCCCUUGUGCCUGUGCCCACUCCAAACCUGCCUGUCCUCUGCCGCCGGCGGCUUCCAGGCAAUCAACGGCGGCUGCUCUAGGGCUCUCCACCCGUGUCGGCGUCUCCAGCUCAUCCUCGAAGGUCGUCCCUGCCCCCUGCUCAUCUACAAGACACAAGAUGAGCUCGUCAUCCGAAGGUUGUCCCUGCUCCCCUCCUUCACCCUUGUCUGCAGUUUUGCAGUCUGCACUGCAGCACUACCCUUUUGUCUGCAGUUUCAUGCUGCCGGUGGACGAAGAGGUGCUGAUGUUGAGGUCUUAUUCCCUGGGUCCAAUGUGGUUGGCAGUGCAAGUGAUUUUGUUCCUCCGGUGACCUCAAAUGUUGAUAGCACAAGCCCUGGUUCGGCAUUAUCAACUGCUGCAGACUCAAAAAGUCUUGCUGAAAAGGCUAUUGCAGCACUCCCUCCUGAGCUUAGUACACAAGCAACUGACCCAAAAAGAAAGGCAAGAUCACAGGACCCAGGAUGGAAGUUUGGGUGGUGGCCAGACAAAACAAAGGAUUUUGUUCAGUGUAUUUUCUGUUCGAAGAUUGUUCCUUCCGGAAUCAAAAGGUUCAAGCAGCAUCUCUUGUUUGUGCUACUGUUGGCUACUGCAUUACAUAUAUAUAUAGCUCUAGGUAAUCCACACUUUUCACUUAUGCUGCAUUGCUGCUAGCUUGCUACUGCUAUAUUUCAGUAAUUCAGUUCCAAAUUUCCAAUCCAAUUUCAGUUCUAUAUGGCUUAUAUGCCCAGAAAUACAUAUCUACAUAUAUAUGGCUUAUAUGCCCAGAAAUAUACAUAGAACGACUAGGGACGACCAGGACCGAUUAGGCGUCCUAAUCAUCGCCCUAAUCGCGAUUAGGCGCCUGGUCGGUCCUCUGGGACGACUAGCUGGUCGCCCGACUUGAAAUCCGUGCUAGCGAGUGGCGGUUGCAGGGUGGGAUACGAUGGAGGGUAACCUAGGUUAAGUACUGGGCUAGCUGGGCCAAAAAACAGCAAGCUGGUCUUCCGUGUGUCCUUGAUCUCUUUUAUUUCUUUUCUUUUCUUUUUACUUCGCUAUUAAACCAGUAAAUAUAUUAGUUAUGGGUUCAUUUUUUCCUAAUCUUCUACUACUAUCUAUUAGUUAUGUUGGAUUUUAAGUCUAUUAUGGUGGUUUACGUUGAACUUGUACUCCUAUUUGGUACUAUUAUCCCUACCUAUUUAAGACUAUCUUCAUAUAUAUUCCUAUAUUUAUAUAUUAGUAAGUGUCGUCUCGCCUUACACAUUAUCGCUUAAAAGGUAAAAACGGGGCCAGACGCCUUACCGCCUUAACAACUAUGCUCCUAAUAGACACACUACGUUCUCUAGAGCGCACUAGCACAUAGGAACUCGUACCUUGUCCACCACGUGUUCGUCCUAUCACGUGUAAGUGGGUUUAUAAGGUUAAGACCUGUUGUAAUGGUUCUCUUGAGCGCUAUAAGGCUCGAUUGGUUGCUCGUGG
This 1513-nucleotide unclassified non-coding RNA is filed under the name Zea mays. RNAcentral's name for it is "misc RNA Zm00001eb011710". The record is from RNAcentral. Lineage: Eukaryota; Viridiplantae; Streptophyta; Magnoliopsida; Poales; Poaceae.